This 107-nucleotide small nuclear RNA is filed under the name Cricetulus griseus (Chinese hamster). The record is from RNAcentral. Lineage: Eukaryota; Metazoa; Chordata; Mammalia; Rodentia; Cricetidae.
AAAAAUAUGGAAUGCUUCACUAAUUUGUGUGUCAUCCUUGUGCAGGGGCCAUGCUAAUCUUCCCUGUAUCAUUCCAAUUUUAGUGUAUGUGCUGCUGAAGUGAGCAC